CCUACGGGAGGCAGCAGUGGGGAAUAUUGCACAAUGGGGGAAACCCUGAUGCAGCGACGCCGCGUGAGUGAAGAAGUAUUUCGGUACGUAAAGCUCUAUCAGCAGGGAAGAAAAUGACGGUACCUGACUAAGAAGCCCCGGCUAACUACGUGCCAGCAGCUGCGGUAAUACGUAGGGGGCAAGCGUUAUCCGGAUUUACUGGGUGUAAAGGGAGCGUAGACGGCAGCGCAAGUCUGGAGUGAAAUCCCAUGGCUUAACCAUGGAACUGCUUUGGAAACUGUGCAGCUAGAGUGCAGGAGAGGUAAGCGGAAUUCCUAGUGUAGCGGUGAAAUGCGUAGAUAUUAGGAGGAACACCAGUGGCGAAGGCGGCUUACUGGACUGUAACUGACGUUGAGGCUCGAAAGCGUGGGGAGCAAACAGGAUUAGAUACCCUAGUAGUC
Molecule: ribosomal RNA, 440 nt
Filed under: uncultured bacterium
Lineage: Bacteria
Description: partial 16S ribosomal RNA
Rfam family: Bacterial small subunit ribosomal RNA
Source: RNAcentral